GCAUUUGCUUAGCAAAAUUUGCUUUGAAAACACUCCAUUUCCUAUUCAUACAGGCAUCUUUGCAAUCAAGUUUAACAUAUUAAUUCAAACAAAAAAAAGAUACAUAAACUUUAUGGUCUGUUUACAGAUUCCCACUCUCUUCUAACGAUGAUUCUGAGGCUGAAUCAUCCACUGUUGAAAUUGAGAUGGUGGUCUCACUAUCUGAAGUUCCGUUUGGCUUCUCUUCAACAGGUUGUUUCAAGAACCAGUACUUGAUGCUUGCUGUCAACGUAAGGAUCAUCUUCUGAUUCACCUGAAAAAAUUUUAACACCAUAUUGAAGUUCAUGGUUCAUUUCAGAAACGAAUAAGAAUUAUAGGAAAUAUCUUUCUGAAGCUCAAGUGCUACUGGGCAAGUAGGACAUGUUGGCAAGUGCUACUGAGACGUUUCAGUUAUAAAAUGGCAUCAACAUGGACAAAUAAUGUCUUCAAUGAUAAAUAAAUCAAAACACUCAUCAUCCACGCAUGUUUAGGUUCAAAAAGGCUGUGGAUGCGGAUCGGAUAUCACAAUAAACAGAAUACAAUGCAAAAUGUUGUUAAUGGACAAGUACCUCUGUUAUGUCUUCAGGAAGCAAAAAUAUUGAGCAUCCUAGCUUUCUUGCUAUACUUAUGAUGUAGGUGGCAUUCAUCUUUUUCUCCUCAUCUGCAUUGCUCUCAAGUUUAGUGGAAAAGAAUAUAAUAAAUAAUAUACGAACUAAGAAAAUUAUCUAAAAUGUGGUGUUAGUAGAUAUAGUAGUCAAGAUCACACGGAAACUUCAGUCGCAUGAUAUUAGAAGAGAACAAAUACCAGUUACUCCUUUUGUGACAAGACUCCAAUUUACUGCUCUGGGCUGAACAGCACUGAGAAGAUCAAGGAAAAAAAUGCCAUCUGACAAACUUUUAUCCUUAAAACUGUCCAUGCGACUCUGACUUCCUGCAUCACGCACUUUGGUGUUGGCCCAUUUUAAAAUAUCAGCAUCAGUGAUUUCCUUUCCAUGAGAGUGGAAUCUCAAAUUCUUUAGAAGUUGGAGGAUGUUAUAUCUCAUCAACUGCCACAGAUAAGCCAAUAUUAAUUUUUUAUUUCCUUGCACAAUGUCAUUUCCAGCAAUGUUAACCAGGGAAAAUUUUAACUGCUUUCCUAUUUUUACAACUAGGUUGCAGUUUUCUACUUUUCUGAAUGGCAACUUGAUUGGAGGCUUAUUUGCAAUCUUCCAAUUAACAAUCCCCGGUGACACCUUGUCAAGGGUCUCCAGAAGUACCCACCCAUUCCUGAGAUCUUCGAAGACAUUGUCAAUAUAGGUUGAAUUCCCAAGACUAUUCAUCCAAAAUCGAAAUGCUCUUUCCUCUCUAGAGAUUUGUGUGUCAUCAGGCAAUGUCUCGAGAAAAGAUAUCUGUUUAGUUUGGGUAGACAGCCCAUUCCUAUGCUGGAAAAUAUGUGCAACAAAGGCAAGGUUGAGAUUUGGUGAACCUUCAACAAUGUCCUUUGCAGUUAAAUAUCUCUUGCAACCCAUUCUAUCUGCAUGUUCAAGAACUAACUUUGCUCUUUCUAGAUGACUUUUCAUGGUCAAUGUAGAUGGAUUACUAUACUCUGGUGCAAGGACGUUUAGAAGGUGAGCAUAAGCCUCCGCAUCCUUCACAUCAGAAGAGAAAUUUGUGACUAUUUUCUUGUAUCCAGCUUUCUUCAACUGGAAAUUCAUCCAUCUUAAUAAGAUCUUCUCUGGUGGUAGACUCAUCAACUCUUCCACAUCCUUACUGUCAUCAACCAACUCCACCAACUGAGGUGUUUUCUUCAGAUUGAGGUCAGCCAAGAGUUGUAUCUUAAUGAUUUGAGAAAUCAAUCCAAGCACAAGAUGGCGCCUUCCUUCAAUGAAGUCUUGGGUUCCAAUAUUGACAACAGUACAUCCAAUAGCCUUAGCAGAGUUGAGACAGAGUGUAUGGUUUUCAUUCCUUUCCCAUGGAUUGAGUACUCUCUUCGUAUUAAUAGCCCUUUCAUCAAUUGUUCCAGGCACUGCCACAUUGAUAAGCUUGCAAAGAAGGACUCCAUCCUUUGCAAUCUCAAAGAGAUCAUUGGUCGAAGGAUCAAUAGGGAGGUAUUUCUUUAAGAAUUGAUCUUCUCCUAGGUAGUUAUUGAUAUGAGCAACAUAGGAUGCCUUCUCGGGUUCACUGAUGGUGUGAAGCAAUGUAGUGGUGGCGGCUUUAAGGAAUGCAGAUGAGUUCUUUGCAACACUUCCUGUUCUUGCACUUGCAUGUGCAUGAAGUUUCAAAUAUACCUUCAAAAAGAACUCGAAAUCAACCUCAUCGUCUAGAUUUUGAUACAAAUCUUGAAUAAAUGAAGCUCUUUCUUCCUCUGUGAGAUUCUCUCCCACUACCUUCAACCUGGACAUCCUUGAAGCCAAGUCUCUGAGCGUAAGCUUCCCACUCUCCCUUCUCAUGCUCAUAAAAUGAGAUUUUAAGCUGCGAAGCUCGACCUGAGUGAACUGGUUUUGGAGCGAUGGAUCCGAUACAAGAAUCCCAACGUAACCUGACAUUUUACUUGCUUUUUCUUCAAAUUUAAACCUGAUUCAAUUCUUGUUCUAAUCAAAACUACAAAGAAAGAGAGAAAGAUUUGUUCCUCUUCCUCUCUUUCCUUACGUUUUAGCUUUCUCAACCAGAGAAUUUCUUCCUUUUCUGCUCCCUAUCUCUCUCUAAUAACAGUGUGUUUUGGUGUUUCUUUAAGCUUCCCUGUGUGUGAGUUCAGUUUGGAGGGGACGGGGUGGGAGCUGUCAG
RNAcentral lists this unclassified non-coding RNA (2781 nucleotides) under Hevea brasiliensis (rubber tree). The record is from RNAcentral. Lineage: Eukaryota; Viridiplantae; Streptophyta; Magnoliopsida; Malpighiales; Euphorbiaceae.